AGUUAAUGAACUUGCUAUAAGUUUAUAUUUUGAAAAUAUAAUAAAGAAACGUAAAUUUUCUAUUAACUU
This 69-nucleotide transfer RNA is filed under the name Psylliodes gougeleti. Its description in RNAcentral is "tRNA-Ser". The record is from RNAcentral. Lineage: Eukaryota; Metazoa; Arthropoda; Insecta; Coleoptera; Chrysomelidae.